CCUACGGGUGACAGCAGUAGGGAAUAUUGCUCAAUGGGGGAAACCCUGAAGCAGCAACGCCGCGUGGAGGAUGAAGGUUUUCGGAUUGUAAACUCCUUUUGUUAGAGAAGAUAAUGACGGUAUCUAACGAAUAACCACCGGCUAACUCCGUGCCAGCAGCCGCGGUAAUACGGAGGGUGCAAGCGUUACUCGGAAUCACUGGGCGUAAAGGGCGCGUAGGCGGGAUAGCAAGUCAGAUGUGAAAUCCUAUGGCUUAACCAUAGAACUGCAUUUGAAACUGUUAGUCUAGAGUAUGGGAGAGGUAGGUGGAAUGCUUGGUGUAGGGGUAAAAUCCGUAGAGAUCAAGAGGAAUACUCAUUGCGAAGGCGACCUGCUAGAACAUAACUGACGCUGAUGCGCGAAAGCGUGGGGAGCAAACAGGAUUAGAUACCCCAGUAGUC
This 440-nucleotide ribosomal RNA is filed under the name uncultured bacterium. Its description in RNAcentral is "partial 16S ribosomal RNA". It matches the Rfam family "Bacterial small subunit ribosomal RNA", at positions 338 to 795 of the family's 1533-position model. The record is from RNAcentral.